Molecule: ribosomal RNA, 528 nt
Filed under: uncultured Chloroflexota bacterium
Lineage: Bacteria; Bacillati; Chloroflexota
Description: bacterial SSU rRNA
Rfam family: Bacterial small subunit ribosomal RNA
Source: RNAcentral
AGUAGGGAAUAUUGCACCAUGGGCGAAAGCCUGAUGCAGCAACGCCGCGUGAGCGAUGAAGGCCUUCGGGUCGUAAAGCUCUUUUCAAGGGGAAGAGGAAGGACGGUACCCUUGGAAUAAGUCUCGGCUAACUACGUGCCAGCAGCCGCGGUAAAACGUAGGAGGCGAGCGUUAUCCGGAUUUACUGGGCGUAAAGCGCGUGUAGGCGGCGUAGAAAGUUGGAUGUGAAAGCUCCUGGCUUAACUGGGAGAGGUCGUUCAAAACUUCUAUGCUUGAGUUUGGUAGAGGAAAAUGGAAUUCCGGGAGUAGUGGUGAAAUGCGUAGAUAUCCGGAGGAACACCAGUGGCGAAAGCGAUUUUCUGGACCAAUACUGACGCUCAGACGCGAAAGCUAGGGUAGCAAACGGGAUUAGAGACCCCGGUAGUCCUAGCUGUAAACGAUGUAGACUUGGCGUUGGGUGGGUAAAACUACUCAGUGCCGAAGCAAACGCGAUAAGUCUACCGCCUGGGGACUACGGCCGCAAGGUUA